RNAcentral lists this ribosomal RNA (791 nucleotides) under uncultured bacterium. Its description in RNAcentral is "bacterial SSU rRNA". It matches the Rfam family "Bacterial small subunit ribosomal RNA", at positions 8 to 796 of the family's 1533-position model. The record is from RNAcentral.
AGAGUUUGAUCAUGGCUCAGAUUGAACGCUGGCGGAAUGCUUUACACAUGCAAGUCGAGCGGCAGCGCGGGGCAACCUGGCGGCGAGCGGCGAACGGGUGAGUAAUGCAUCGGAACAUGUCCAUGUCGUGGGGGGAUAGCCCGGCGAAAGCCGGAUUAAUACCGCAUACGCCCGAGAGGGGAAAGUGGGGGACCGCAAGGCCUCACGCGAUUGGGUUGGCCGAUGUCCGAUUAGCUAGUUGGCGGGGUAAGAGCCCACCAAGGCGAUGAUCGGUAGCUGGUCUGAGAGGAUGAUCAGCCACACUGGGACUGAGACACGGCCCAGACUCCUACGGGAGGCAGCAGUGGGGAAUUUUGGACAAUGGGGGCAACCCUGAUCCAGCCAUUCCGCGUGAGUGAAGAAGGCCUUCGGGUUGUAAAGCUCUUUUGUCCGGAGCGAAACGGUUGUCGUGAAUAGCGGCGACUACUGACGGUACCGGAAGAAUAAGCACCGGCUAACUACGUGCCAGCAGCCGCGGUAAUACGUAGGGUGCGAGCGUUAAUCGGAAUUACUGGGCGUAAAGCGUGCGCAGGCGGUUUUGUAAGCCAGAUGUGAAAUCCCCGGGCUUAACCUGGGAAUGGCAUUUGGGACUGCAAGGCUCGAGUGCGGCAGAGGAGACUGGAAUUCCUGGUAGCAGUGAAAUGCGUAGAUAUCAGGAGGAACACCUGUGGCGAAAGCGGCUCACUGGACCACAACUGACGCUGAUGCGCGAAAGCUAGGGGAGCAAACAGGAUUAGAUACCCUAGUAGUCC